UGACAGUCACGAGCACAGUGCAACUCAGCAACACGUGGGGUUGGCCUCUGAGCACCCUGACAACACAGCUGACUCUCAGACACCAGAUUUUUGAAACAUACAUCACGCACUUUUCCCGUUAGAUGCAACUACACCCAUCCACCGUGCCAGGCAGGAACCGCCAAGGCUCCAACACAGCCGGGCAGAUGACGCGGCUGACGCUCAACCGGACACUUCAAGAACCUGGCAGGGGACCCUCAACGCUCCCAAGAGAGACAAAUGACGCGGCUAACGACACGCACACGGCGACUGGCCGCCUCUGCCGCUCGCACGGUACCCCCGGACGGAAGCGGCACCCCGGUACUGCGCCCUGAGAGAGGACCCGGCCGGUGCGGGACGCCAUCGUGUUCCCGGCGGCGCCCUUCCUCCCGCUGAUUGGAAGAAGCGCGCCGGAAGGGGACUGAGCGGAGGGAGCCCGUGAACCUUCGGGAUUGCCUUUCUCCCGCUGAUUGGAAAAGCCUGUGGAACGCACCAGAAAGGACGCGGCUCCGCGGCUAGCCUCCGAGAGGACAGAGCGAGCCGGGAACGCCAUGUUGGCUCCUGGCGCCGCCCUCGAGUUGCCCUUCCUCCCGCUGAUUGGAAGAGCUGGUCGAGCGUCUAGGAAGGGGCGUGGCUAUGCCGCUAGCGUUCGUAGGAGCGCAGAGCAAUCCCGGGACGCCAUCGUAGUUCCUGGCAACGGGCUCAAGCUGCCCUUCCUCCCGCUGAUUGGACAAGUGGGGCGGGUCUUCCGGAAGGCAGAGCUCUCUGCGCGGUCGUCCUGUUUCCGGCCGGGUAAUGGAUAACGGUUCUCACACUCGGACCUCCUCGAACUCCUGGGUGGAUGACAGCUUCCUUGGAGAAAAUGGCCUUGCCAGAGUAAUGGAGCUUCGGGAAAACCUGGAGCAGCCGGAUGCUGCUUGAGCAGGGGCCGUGAGCUGCUUCCUGCUAGGGCGCUGCGGUCGGAGGUGGCGGGGGGAGCCCGGACGCGACUGCGCUGACGCCGCAGAAGGCCUGGCGCGCGGGGCCGGGCAGCUCGGGCUUCGUCCUCGCGGAGGGGAUGAAAGCGAAGACCGGGGCUGGGGCUUUAGCUCAGCGGCACAGCGCCUGCCUGGCAGGAGCAAGGUCGUGAGUUCCACUCCCGGUACCGGAAAAAAAAACAAAAGCGAAAACCGGCGGGACUUGAGAGGGAGGUCAGA
Chinchilla lanigera (long-tailed chinchilla) is the source of this 1214-nucleotide long non-coding RNA. RefSeq lists it as uncharacterized. The record is from RefSeq and is a predicted model, not a curated record. The transcript is spliced from 2 exons. Lineage: Eukaryota; Metazoa; Chordata; Mammalia; Rodentia; Chinchillidae.